This 253-nucleotide ribosomal RNA is filed under the name uncultured bacterium. RNAcentral describes it as "partial 16S ribosomal RNA". It matches the Rfam family "Bacterial small subunit ribosomal RNA", at positions 524 to 776 of the family's 1533-position model. The record is from RNAcentral.
UACGGAGGGUGCGAGCGUUAUCCGGAUUUACUGGGUUUAAAGGGUGUGUAGGCGGAUUAUUAAGUCAGUGGUGAAAUCCCGGGGCUCAACCCCGGAACUGCCAUUGAUACUAUUAGUCUUGAAUACUGUGGAGGUGAGCGGAAUGUGUCAUGUAGCGGUGAAAUGCUUAGAGAUGACACAGAACACCGAUUGCGAAGGCAGCUCACUACGCAGUGAUUGACGCUGAGGCACGAAAGCGUGGGGAUCAAACAGG